This 451-nucleotide ribosomal RNA is filed under the name uncultured bacterium. RNAcentral's name for it is "partial 16S ribosomal RNA". It matches the Rfam family "Bacterial small subunit ribosomal RNA", at positions 354 to 796 of the family's 1533-position model. The record is from RNAcentral.
GUGGGGAAUAUUGGACAAUGGGGGGAACCCUGAUCCAGCCAUGCCGCGUGUGUGAAGAAGGCCUUUUGGUUGUAAAGCACUUUAAGCGAGGAGGAGGCUACCGAGAUUAAUACUCUUGGAUAGUGGACGUUACUCGCAGAAUAAGCACCGGCUAACUCUGUGCCAGCAGCCGCGGUAAUACAGAGGGUGCAAGCGUUAAUCGGAUUUACUGGGCGUAAAGCGCGCGUAGGUGGCCAAUUAAGUCAAAUGUGAAAUCCCCGAGCUUAACUUGGGAAGUGCAUUCGAUACUGGUUGGCUAGAGUAUGGGAGAGGAUGGUAGAAUUCCAGGUGUAGCGGUGAAAUGCGUAGAGAUCUGGAGGAAUACCGAUGGCGAAGGCAGCCAUCUGGCCUAAUACUGACACUGAGGUGCGAAAGCAUGGGGAGCAAACAGGAUUAGAUACCCCAGUAGUCC